CAGGAAGCUUCCUUGGAGGAAGGUUAAAGGUGGCUGUAUUUUCUGGGGGCUGUAGUCAGACAAAAAUAUUUCACACAAGAUUUCUGUGUGAAUCUUUUUGGCACAAAUGUUUUUACUUUAAAAUUAUCCUUAUGUCCAGUCUGAAUCUACUCAAGUGGAUUCCCACAUUGUGCCCAUUUGAAACAAAAGUUUCACCAAAAACAAAACAAUCCCCGCCCCCACCCUACCCUAGGAAAUAGAGCUAGGCUCACUGCCUUGGAAAGAGAUUCAGCUUGGAAGAUGUGAGGCCUAAGAAAUUACUGCAAGAACAAGAUGAACUUCUGCUGGACUUGAGUGCCCAUUGGAAAGGAAUGCCCAUGUUGACCACAGUGCCAUUACAUCAGACAUUCACUCGUUCACCUACACAAGAAACAAGACUUAGAAAAGAAUAUAUCUUGCUACAACCCUUGUGUUCCUGGGCUUCAGGAAGGGUACUGGAACACAUUCCAAAACAUGGAGAUGUAAUUAAAAAUCUUCUGGGUCUAGCAUGAGCAAGGCUCAGGUUAUGAACCCCAGAAAGGCCCUGGGUUUGAUUCUUAGCACCACAAAAAUCAAGCAAACAGGUGAUCACCCGGCGGCGUGCGCGUGAGCUCCCAGCCUGCGCGGGAGCUCCCGGCCUGCGCGACAACAGACCCAGGAAGGAC
This 683-nucleotide long non-coding RNA is filed under the name Fukomys damarensis (Damara mole-rat). RNAcentral describes it as "lncRNA (ENSFDAG00000027544.1)". Lineage: Eukaryota; Metazoa; Chordata; Mammalia; Rodentia; Bathyergidae. The record is from RNAcentral.